GGGACUCAUAUUUUUCCCAGACGCGGAGAUCACGCUGACCUGGCAGCGGGAUGGGGAGGAACAGACCCAGGACACAGAGCUUGUGGAGACCAGGCCUGCAGGGGAUGGAACCUUCCAGAAGUGGGCCGCUGUGGUGGUGCCUUCUGGAGAGGAACAGAGAUACACAUGCCAUGUGCAGCACGAGGGGCUGCCCCAGCCCCUCAUCCUGAGAUGGGAGCAGUCUCCCCAGCCCACCAUCCCCAUCGUGGGCAUCGUUGCUGGCCUUGUUGUCCUUGGAGCUGUGGUCACUGGAGCUGUGGUCGCUGCUGUGAUGUGGAGGAAGAAGAGCUCAG
This 332-nucleotide small RNA is filed under the name Homo sapiens (human). RNAcentral describes it as "major histocompatibility complex, class I, F (ENSG00000234487.11)". Lineage: Eukaryota; Metazoa; Chordata; Mammalia; Primates; Hominidae. The record is from RNAcentral.